This 492-nucleotide ribosomal RNA is filed under the name uncultured bacterium. RNAcentral describes it as "partial 16S ribosomal RNA". It matches the Rfam family "Bacterial small subunit ribosomal RNA", at positions 29 to 507 of the family's 1533-position model. The record is from RNAcentral.
AGUGAACGCUGGCGGUAGGCCUAACACAUGCAAGUCGAACGGCAGCACAGUAAGAGCUUGCUCUUACGGGUGGCGAGUGGCGGACGGGUGAGGAAUACAUCGGAAUCUACUUUUUCGUGGGGGAUAACGUAGGGAAACUUACGCUAAUACCGCAUACGACCUACGGGUGAAAGCAGGGGAUCUUCGGACCUUGCGCGAUUGAAUGAGCCGAUGUCGGAUUAGCUAGUUGGCGGGGUAAAGGCCCACCAAGGCGACGAUCCGUAGCUGGUCUGAGAGGAUGAUCAGCCACACGGGAACUGAGACACGGUCCAGACUCCUACGGGAGGGAGCAGUGGGGAAUAUUGGACAAUGGGCGCAAGCCUGAUCCAGCAAUACCGCGUGGGUGAAGAAGGCCUUCGGGUUGUAAAGCCCUUUUGUUGGGAAAGAAAAGCAGCAGGUUAAUACCCCGCUGUUCUGACGGUACCCAAAGAAUAAGCACCGGCUAACUUCGUG